CUCGGGGUGGGUAUCCCUCAGCCCAGAUUGCGAGAGGGUGCAGGCCAGGCUGAAGGACCCCACUGGUGCACA
RNAcentral lists this microRNA precursor (72 nucleotides) under Myotis lucifugus (little brown bat). RNAcentral's name for it is "mir-9193 microRNA precursor family". It matches the Rfam family "mir-9193 microRNA precursor family". The record is from Rfam by way of RNAcentral. Lineage: Eukaryota; Metazoa; Chordata; Mammalia; Chiroptera; Vespertilionidae.